UAGCCUUGACAUACUACAGAAUUUGACAGAGAUGUUGGAGUGCCUUCGGGAGCUGUAAUACAGGUGCUGCACGGCUGUCGUCAGCUCGUGUCGUGAGAUGUUGGGUUAAGUCCCGCAACGAGCGCAACCCUCGUCCUUAGUUACUAACGGUUCGGCCGAGGACUCUAAGGAGACUGCCUUCGUAAGGAGGAGGAAGGUGAGGACGACGUCAAGUCAUCAUGGCCCUUGCGGCUAGGGCAACACACGUGCUACAAUGGUUAGGACAAUGAGAAGCGAUACCGCGAGGUGGAGCAAAUCUAUAAACCUAAUCUCAGUUCGGAUAGCAGUCUGCAACUCGACUGCUUGAAGCUGGAAUCACUAGUAAUCGUAAAUCAGCUAUGUUACGGUGAAUACGUUACCGGGUCU
This 405-nucleotide ribosomal RNA is filed under the name uncultured bacterium. RNAcentral's name for it is "bacterial SSU rRNA". It matches the Rfam family "Bacterial small subunit ribosomal RNA", at positions 976 to 1381 of the family's 1533-position model. The record is from RNAcentral.